CAAACCUGGGUUGGACUCUCGCUUGGGGACACACAAGGGAAAGGCCCCCAGAGGGGCUAUGGGGAAAAUGAGGGUCAAUGCUCUGAUGCUGUCCAGAAUCCUCAGUUACCCCGGGGCCUCCUCUCUAUCAACUCAUAGAUAAAGAAUGGAAAAGCUCCUCUUGGUGAAUAAUGCUUUCUUCAUUCCUCCCGGGGUCUGACCCCACCACUAAGAUCCUCUGCAUGAACCUUGGUCAUCGCUGCAGACUCCCACUCAGUGUCAGGGGUGAAAAAAAGAGGAAGUAAAAGUGAGCUCUCUGGAAAGAUCUGAAGCCACUGCCUGGGCUCCCACCAACUUCUGCGGUUCACUUGUCCCUCCCCACCUAGUGCAGGCUCCCUUGCUGGUGCUCCCUUCACUCAGCCUUCAAGAGAGAUGCACCGUAGCUCUGCACUCACCAUGUCCUUUCUAGACAACCCCCACUCAAGGCCUCUCCUCCAGGCUAGCUCCAGGUAGAAUAGAGCCCAUUUUCCCAGGGCCGCUACUCUGCAAUCCCUUUCCUGUCAAGGAUGAAAAUCUUUCCUUAAUUUUUCACAGAAUGUCAGAAAAUGAACGAGACCUUAGAGACCAUCUACCUGUUUCUCUGAUGGGGAGACUGAGGCCAUGAACAGGUUAGUGACAGGCUCAAGGUGAGAUAGAAGACGAAUGGCUACAUUUGUGCUGGUUUGCUUAUUUCUGGGCUCUCAAUGUAGUGCCCUUUGUCAUCUACUGCACUAUCUCUUUAUUAUAACAUUCAUACAAUUAGCACAUACCCUGUGCAGAGCACCAGGUAGAGGACUGCACAGGGAGGGAGAAGUGAAUUAGACAUGAUGCUUCCUUUUCAGAAGAGAUGCUAAAGUAAGAAUCCAUGGAAAGUAGGACUGAAUUUAGGAAUAAAUCUGAUCAGUACUUACCCCAAGCUUCCAGCAUCUAAGAUUUCUUGCUUUCUGGAUUGGAUCUGCCCCAGGUCUAAUUGCAUGCAGUAGCCAAGAAUACUCCUGAGCAUGGGAAUAGGGG
Molecule: long non-coding RNA, 1032 nt
Filed under: Homo sapiens (human)
Lineage: Eukaryota; Metazoa; Chordata; Mammalia; Primates; Hominidae
Description: non-protein coding lnc-ASIC2-2:1
Source: RNAcentral